GGCGGACGGGUGAGUAACGCGUAAGAACUUGCCCUUUAGACUGGGAUAACAGAGGGAAACUUCUGACAAUACUGGAUAAGUUAGUAUAUCGCAUGAUAUGCAAAUGAAAGCUACGGCACUAAAGGAGAGCUUUGCGUCCUAUUAGCUAGUUGGUAAGGUAAGAGCUUACCAAGGCGAUGAUAGGUAGCCGGCCUGAGAGGGUGGACGGCCACAAGGGGACUGAGAUACGGCCCUUACUCCUACGGGAGGCAGCAGCC
RNAcentral lists this ribosomal RNA (257 nucleotides) under uncultured Leptotrichia sp. Its description in RNAcentral is "partial 16S ribosomal RNA". It matches the Rfam family "Bacterial small subunit ribosomal RNA", at positions 97 to 355 of the family's 1533-position model. Lineage: Bacteria; Fusobacteriati; Fusobacteriota; Fusobacteriia; Fusobacteriales; Leptotrichiaceae. The record is from RNAcentral.